Molecule: ribosomal RNA, 247 nt
Filed under: uncultured bacterium
Lineage: Bacteria
Description: partial 16S ribosomal RNA
Rfam family: Bacterial small subunit ribosomal RNA
Source: RNAcentral
AUACGUAGGUGGCAAGCGUUGUCCGGAAUUACUGGGUGUAAAGGGUGUGUAGGCGGGGAUGCAAGUCAGAUGUGAAAUCCAUGGGCUCAACCUAUGGUGUGCAUUUGAAACUGCGUUUCUUGAGUGUGGGAGAGGUAAGCGGUAUUCCUAGUGUAGCGGUGAAAUUCGUAGAUAUUCGGAGGAACACCAGUGGCGAAGGCGGCUUACUGGUCCAUUACUGACGCUGAGGUGCGAAAGCGUGGGGAGC